Molecule: long non-coding RNA, 331 nt
Filed under: Triticum aestivum (bread wheat)
Lineage: Eukaryota; Viridiplantae; Streptophyta; Magnoliopsida; Poales; Poaceae
Description: long non-coding RNA (TAES_LNC002976)
Source: RNAcentral
AAUCGUUCAUCACCACAAUAGGAAUUGAUGCUUGAUCAGCUAAAGGGAUCACCGGAUCCGGAUGAGGUACAUAAAUAGCACGAGAGUACUCCUACUAUUUUGCAAGGAGAAGCAUCCAUUAACGUCAAAAACUAAUUGGAAAAAAACAUCCAUACCCGCACUUGCAGUCUGAGCCGCAGCUGCAACCGGAUCCACAGUUGCAAGACAUCCUCCAAAUCUGAUGAACCCAAAAAGAUUUCAAGGAGAAGAAGAUGAGCUUUGGUGUCGAGGAUGAUGAUGAGCACAAUUGAAUUGAAUGGAUAGCCUCCCACCGGCGCCACUAUUUAUAGCC